AUGAGAUUCGACAAGUUCUUGGUAUAUCGUGCUUUAUAUCUUUGCUAUUUGUAUUUUAUUUUGGGAAAGAUUGGGGGGAAGGGGUUCAUAUUCUUAAGCGAUGUAUUUGAUUUUGCAUUAUAUCAUGUUGCUGCAAGUAAAUGGAGUAUUUAGUAAAACUGCUGAUCAGGUUUUAAUUUUGAAUAUGCAGAUAAAUGUGGAUAUGACGUGCAA
This 213-nucleotide unclassified non-coding RNA is filed under the name Hevea brasiliensis (rubber tree). Lineage: Eukaryota; Viridiplantae; Streptophyta; Magnoliopsida; Malpighiales; Euphorbiaceae. The record is from RNAcentral.